Sinocyclocheilus grahami is the source of this 354-nucleotide long non-coding RNA. RefSeq lists it as uncharacterized. NCBI's taxonomy places the organism in Eukaryota, Metazoa, Chordata, Actinopteri, Cypriniformes, Cyprinidae. The record is from RefSeq and is a predicted model, not a curated record. The transcript has 2 exons.
UUUGUCAGAGGUUCUGUUGGCCACAAUGAAUAUCCUGUUCACACAAUACAAGCGUCUAAAGGGGGCUGCAGCAGGUACGCCAGGAAGACCUCAGCGUACCCUAGAGGACAGAGACAUGCUGCUGCGCAGUCAAGCCCGGGCUCUGAUCACGUUUGCGGGAAUGAUUCCGUAUCGGAUGGCUGGAGAUACCAAUGCCAGACUGGUUCAGAUGGAGGUCCUAAUGAACUGAAACCCCCCCCCCCCCUUGACCCUUCUCCAGCAGCUCUCUUUCAUUGUCCUCAUUCCAUCAUUACUUUUGUCAACUUAUAUUUGUAUUUUUUCCCAUUAUUUGAAAUAAAAUAAAAAAAUGAAAUU